AUUUAUAUAGUUUAAAAAAACAUUACAUUUUCAUUGUAAAAAUAAAAUAUAUAUAUAUUUUUAUAUAUU
RNAcentral lists this transfer RNA (69 nucleotides) under Pachliopta aristolochiae. RNAcentral describes it as "tRNA-Glu". Lineage: Eukaryota; Metazoa; Arthropoda; Insecta; Lepidoptera; Papilionidae. The record is from RNAcentral.